RNAcentral lists this ribosomal RNA (253 nucleotides) under uncultured bacterium. RNAcentral describes it as "partial 16S ribosomal RNA". It matches the Rfam family "Bacterial small subunit ribosomal RNA", at positions 524 to 776 of the family's 1533-position model. The record is from RNAcentral.
GACGAACCGUGCGAACGUUGUUCGGAUUCACUGGGCUUAAAGGGCGCGUAGGCGGGCUGGAUAGUCAGGGGUGAAAUCCUCCGGCUCAACCGGAGAACAGCCUUUGAUACUGCCAGUCUCGAGGGAGGUAGGGGUCUGUGGAACUUCCGGUGGAGCGGUGAAAUGCGUAGAUAUCGGAAGGAACGCCGGUGGCGAAAGCGACGGACUGGACCUCUUCUGACGCUGAGGCGCGAAAGCCAGGGGAGCAAACGGG